RNAcentral lists this ribosomal RNA (113 nucleotides) under Acanthosepion pharaonis. Lineage: Eukaryota; Metazoa; Mollusca; Cephalopoda; Sepiida; Sepiidae. The record is from RNAcentral.
UAUGGCCACAUCAUGUUAAAAUUCUGGUUCCUGUAUGAUCACUGAAGUUAAGCAAUGUUGAGCCAGAUCAGUAGCUAGAUGGGUGACUGCUUGGGAAUACCAGGUGCUGUAAG